GAUGAACGCUGGCGGCGUGCCUAAUACAUGCAAGUCGAGCGAACAGACGAGGAGCUUGCUCCUCUGACGUUAGCGGCGGACGGGUGAGUAACACGUGGAUAACCUACCUAUAAGACUGGGAUAACUUCGGGAAACCGGAGCUAAUACCGGAUAAUAUAUUGAACCGCAUGGUUCAAUAGUGAAAGACGGUUUUGCUGUCACUUAUAGAUGGAUCCGCGCCGCAUUAGCUAGUUGGUAAGGUAACGGCUCACCAAGGCGACGAUGCGUAGCCGACCUGAGAGGGUGAUCGGCCACACUGGAACUGAGACACGGUCCAGACUCCUACGGGAGGCAGCAGUAAGGAAUCUUCCGCAAUGGGCGAAAGCCUGACGGAGCAACGCCGCGUGAGUGAUGAAGGUCUUCGGAUCGUAAAACUCUGUUAUUAGGGAAGAACAAAUGUGUAAGUAACUAUGCACGUCUUGACGGUACCUAAUCAGAAAGCCACGGCUAACUACGUG
This 497-nucleotide ribosomal RNA is filed under the name uncultured bacterium. Its description in RNAcentral is "partial 16S ribosomal RNA". It matches the Rfam family "Bacterial small subunit ribosomal RNA", at positions 28 to 507 of the family's 1533-position model. The record is from RNAcentral.